RNAcentral lists this ribosomal RNA (468 nucleotides) under uncultured bacterium. RNAcentral's name for it is "partial 16S ribosomal RNA". It matches the Rfam family "Bacterial small subunit ribosomal RNA", at positions 28 to 507 of the family's 1533-position model. The record is from RNAcentral.
GACGAACGCUGGCGGCGUGCUUAACACAUGCAAGUCGAACGGAAAGGCCCUGCUUUUGUGGGGUGCUCGAGUGGCGAACGGGUGAGUAACACGUGAGUAACCUGCCCUUGACUUUGGGAUAACUUCAGGAAACUGGGGCUAAUACCGGAUAGGAGCUCCUGCUGCAUGGUGGGGGUUGGAAAGUUUCGGCGGUUGGGGAUGGACUCGCGGCUUAUCAGCUUGUUGGUGGGGUAGUGGCAUACCAAGGCUUUGACGGGUAGCCGGCCUGAGAGGGUGACCGGCCACAUUGGGACUGAGGUACGGCCCAGACUCCUACGGGAGGCAGCAGUGGGGAGUAUUGCGCAAUGGGCGGAAGCCUGAUGCGACGGCGCCGCGUGCGGGAUGACGGCCUUCGGGUUGUAAACCGCUGUCGCCUGUGACGAAGCGUGAGUGACGGUAAUGGGUAAAGAAGCACCGGCUAACUACGUG